This 468-nucleotide ribosomal RNA is filed under the name uncultured bacterium. RNAcentral describes it as "partial 16S ribosomal RNA". It matches the Rfam family "Bacterial small subunit ribosomal RNA", at positions 28 to 507 of the family's 1533-position model. The record is from RNAcentral.
GACGAACGCUGGCGGCGUGCUUAACACAUGCAAGUCGAACGGAAAGGCCCUGCUUUGGUGGGGUGCUCGAGUGGCGAACGGGUGAGUAACACGUGAGUAACCUGCCCUGGACUUUGGGAUAACUUCAGGAAACUGGGGCUAAUACCGGAUAGGAGCGCCCGCUGCAUGGUGGGGGGUGGAAAGUUUCGGCGGUUGGGGAUGGACCCGCGGCUUAUCAGCUUGUUGGUGGGGUAGUGGCUUACCAAGGCGUUGACGGGUAGCCGGCCUGAGAGGGUGACCGGCCACAUUGGGACUGAGAUACGGCCCAGACUCCUACGGGAGGCAGCAGUGGGGAAUAUUGCACAAUGGGCGGAAGCCUGAUGCAGCAACGCCGCGUGCGGGAUGACGGCCUUCGGGUUGUAAACCGCUUUCGCCUGUGACGAAGCGUGAGUGACGGUAAUGGGUAAAGAAGCACCGGCUAACUACGUG